CCUACGGGAGGCUGCAGUGAGGAAUAUUGGUCAAUGGACGAGAGUCUGAACCAGCCAAGUAGCGUGAAGGAUGACUGCCCUCUGGGUUGUAAACUUCUUUUAUAUGGGAAUAAAAUGUUCCACGUGUGGGAUUUUGUAUGUACCAUAUGAAUAAGGAUCGGCUAACUCCGUGCCAGCAGCCGCGGUAAUACGGAGGGUCCGAGCGUUAUCCGGAUUUAUUGGGGUUAAAGGGAGCGUAGGUGGAUUGUUAAGUCAGUUGUGAAAGUUUGCGGCUUAACCGGAAAAUUGCAGUUGAAACUGGAAGUCUUGAGUACAGUAGAGGUGGGCGGAAUGCGUGGUGUAGCGGUGAAAUGCUUAGAUAUCACGAAGAACUCCGAUUGCGAAGGCAGCUCACUGGACUGCAACUGACACUGAGGCUCGAAAGUGUGGGUAUCAAACAGGAUUAGAUACCCUAGUAGUC
This 460-nucleotide ribosomal RNA is filed under the name uncultured bacterium. RNAcentral's name for it is "partial 16S ribosomal RNA". It matches the Rfam family "Bacterial small subunit ribosomal RNA", at positions 338 to 795 of the family's 1533-position model. The record is from RNAcentral.